Molecule: ribosomal RNA, 495 nt
Filed under: uncultured bacterium
Lineage: Bacteria
Description: partial 16S ribosomal RNA
Rfam family: Bacterial small subunit ribosomal RNA
Source: RNAcentral
GACGAACGCUGGCGGCGUGCCUAAUACAUGCAAGUAGAACGCUGAAGGAGGAGCUUGCUUCUCUGGAUGAGUUGCGAACGGGUGAGUAACGCGUAGGUAACCUGCCUGGUAGCGUGGGAUAACUAUUGGAAACGAUAGCUAAUACCGCAUAAGAGUAGAUGUUGCAUGACAUUUGCUUAAAAUGUGCAAUUGCAUCACUACCAUAUGGACCUGCGUUGUAUUAGCUAGUUGGUGGGGUAACGGCUUACCAAGGCGACGAUACAUAUCCGACCUGAGAGGGUGAUCGGCCACACUGGGACUGAGAAACGGCCCAGACUCCUACGGGAGGCAGCAGUAGGGAAUCUUCGGCAAUGGACGGAAGGCUGACCGAGCAAAGCCGCGUGAGGGAAGAAGGUUUUCGGAUCGUAAAGCUCUGUUGUAAGAGAAGAACGAGUGUGAGAGUGGAAAGUUCACACUGUGACGGUAUCUUACCAGAAAGGGACGGCUAACUACGUG